UCCUGGUUAACCCAGGCAGUCUCGUCAGAGUGCCCAACUUAAUGCUGGCAACAGACGAUAGGGGUUGCGCUCGUUGCGAGACUUAACCCAACAUUUCACAACACGAGCUGACGACAGCCAUGCAGCACCUCUCACUCAAUUCCCUUGCGGGCACCCCGACCAUUACAUCGGGUUCUGAGGAGUUCAAGCCUAGGUAAGGUUCUGCGCGUUGCUUCGAAUUAAACCACAUAAUCCACCGCUUGUGCGGGCCCCCGUCAAUUUGUUUGAGUUUUAGUCUUGCGACCGUACUCCCCAGGCGGAGCACUUAAUGCGUUAGCUGCGUCACUGAAGGAGUCAAUACCUCCAAUAACUAGUGCUCAUCGUUUACGGCGUGGACUAC
RNAcentral lists this unclassified non-coding RNA (379 nucleotides) under uncultured Bacteriovoracaceae bacterium. RNAcentral's name for it is "contains 16S-23S intergenic spacer region". The record is from RNAcentral. Lineage: Bacteria; Pseudomonadati; Bdellovibrionota; Bacteriovoracia; Bacteriovoracales; Bacteriovoracaceae.